UACGGAGGGUGCAAGCGUUGUUCGGAAUUACUGGGCGUAAAGAGUGCGUAGGCGGCUUAGCAAGUUGGGAGUGAAAUCCCGGGGCUCAACCUCGGAAUUGCUCUCAAAACUGCUUAGCUAGAGUGUGGUAGGGGAUAGUAGAAUUCCUAGUGUAGGGGUGAAAUCCGUAGAUAUUAGGAGGAAUACCAGAGGCGAAGGCGACUAUCUGGGCCAUUACUGACGCUAAGGUACGAAAGCGUGGGGAGCAAACAGGAUUAGAACCUACCGUU
RNAcentral lists this ribosomal RNA (269 nucleotides) under uncultured bacterium. Its description in RNAcentral is "partial 16S ribosomal RNA". It matches the Rfam family "Bacterial small subunit ribosomal RNA", at positions 524 to 791 of the family's 1533-position model. The record is from RNAcentral.